AACUAUUACGCUCAUCAAACUCAACUGUUACUGUGAUAGAAAUUAAGUACCAUGUUAAUUUACUUCCGAAACACAUUUCUUCACUUACUCUUGUUUGCAGUUUAUAAACCUGGAGAAUAUCACACACAAAUUUCCACAACACCACGAAGUUGCUGCUGACUACAAGGUACACGAAGGGUGACAGUAUCGCAGAACCAGUAGAUGCAUUCAAAACCAGCGUGAAUCUUGUCGCUCGUGUGGCCAACAGCAGAAUUUUACGUCUUUUUCAACGCAGUUGUGAGAGAAUCCUUACACAGUGGUUCAUUAAAUUUAUCAAGAGAGGAACUGGUGAAAACUAAGUACCUGCUCCUGAUGAACGAUUGCCACCUUGAAAAAGCCAUAAUGGUUUCCACUAAGAUUAGCCCACAAGAUACACACUACAAUGCAAGACUCAAGUCUUCUGUAGCAUCUGCUUCCCCAUCAACAUCACUUUGUUCACAACAGUCUAAAUGCAGUAACUGUAGCUAUGCUGCAAGUUUAUACAAAAGUGUUAUAAGUAACGGUAUUUUAUACAAUGACUCAAGAGCUCUGAAUUACACAGUUCUGUAAAGAAGUUUGGUGAAACUAUAUGGCUUGAGUAUUUAAAUACUGCCAUUGAGGUAAGUGCUUUUGUAUAUAGCUUUAUUUUGUGAUUUAGAAAAAAUAAUUUCUGUAUUUCUGCAUAGUGGCCAGGCAUUAAUGUCACUAGCAUUGCUCAGAAGAGAAGGUUGUUACAUAUUUUGCUACUACACCUUCUUUAUUUGUGAAUUAUUUUCAACAUUCUACAAGUACUGCUAGGACAUUUAUGCAUAUGGUAUUGAACAAUGAUGUAGUUGUUAAUCCUUGUAAAGUUUGGCGGUAUUAUUUGUCCUUGGUGCAUAGUGAACUACAUUGCAAGAUCUGAUUUAGGUGUGCAGUUUAUAAUUAAAAGGGUAACAUGAAACUUUUCUCAAACAAGUGAAAACAUUGGUCUGGACUAUGAGUUCAUUCCAGGUACCUCUCUGGUAUGGACAGAUCUUCUCCAAUUGUACCGUAUAAGUAGGGCCUUAGGAUUGAUUCAAAAUGUCAGCUUACUACAAAGACCUAUCCAUUCAUUUCCAACAAAUGCCUGAAUUGGAAAUGCACUGUUUACAAAAUGUGAUUCUGGUUCAGGUCUGCACUCUUUAGUAACUUGUAGCAAAUAUUUGUAUCAGUAUACACUUAGCAUCAAAUGCUGUUUCUAGACUAUCUGCUUAGGUCAUUAGCAAGUACUCUAACAUUUUAUUAGAGUUUAACAUAAAUUGUGUAUGUUGGCCUCUUUGCUCAUGGACCACUGAACCCAGUAAAAGGAAAAUAUAAGGAUCUUCUUAAUCCAUGAUUUUUAUUUGCCUUGUGCAUCGUAUUGCAGGUUCAUCACAUUGUUAAUGGGUGUGGUGUAAAGUCAUGCACCAAUUUUUACUUAAUUUAGAGGUUGUAUAAGUGCUAUUAUGGACUAUAAAAAAUACAUGGUAGUCACAGGUUGUGAGCUGACUACUUUCUGUAACUGUCCAUUCCAAUUUAUACAUCAUUCUUAAUCAAGAUUUGGAUUAACGUCAUACAUAGACGUGGAGUCAUCUAUCUUAUCCGUAAAACAAUUUAUAUGACUGGAUGCUAGCUUUUACAAGGAUGGUCAGUAAUCACUUACUUAGUAGUAAACACACUGUGAAAUGAGCAACACGUUCUAGUGAAAAGUAUGAACAUUUAAAACUUAAUGUCUUUGUGUACCUAGGGGAUAAAAACAUAGUGGUGCUGGCAAGCACAAAGAGUUCUUCUCGUGUGUAAUCGUAAAAUUUGUCAUUUUGUUGUACUUUGAAGCAAAAUAUUUGUGAAAUGU
Schistocerca americana (American grasshopper) is the source of this 1870-nucleotide long non-coding RNA. RefSeq lists it as uncharacterized. The transcript is spliced from 3 exons. The record is from RefSeq and is a predicted model, not a curated record. Lineage: Eukaryota; Metazoa; Arthropoda; Insecta; Orthoptera; Acrididae.